UUUUUUUUUGUUUUAAUAUUUAUUUCAAUUGUUUUUGCGUCUGACCGGGGCUCUCCAGGACCCGCCGGCUCCGCGCCUGGGCGUCGCUGGAGUAGAGCCUGCACCUGUCACUUCGCUCGGGAGCAGGAGCCCCACCCGCCCGACACCUGUCAAGCCGCAGUCCAGACCCCUUCGGGAUGCCCUCCCCGUCGCCCGCGAGCCCAGGACCGUGUCACCGCGCCGCCGCCGUCCCGCGGAGGUGGGGGACCGAGGGGACUCCGGGGACCCCGGGCGCCGCUCCUAUCGCUUGCCCGGCCCCGCCGAGAUGCGC
Molecule: long non-coding RNA, 310 nt
Filed under: Rattus norvegicus (Norway rat)
Lineage: Eukaryota; Metazoa; Chordata; Mammalia; Rodentia; Muridae
Description: long non-coding RNA NONRATT010587
Source: RNAcentral